AGUGAACGCUGGCGGUAGGCCUAACGCAUGCAAGUCGAACGGCAGCACAGUAAGAGCUUGCUCUUACGGGUGGCGAGUGGCGGACGGGCGAGGAAUACAUCGGAAUCUACUUUUUCGUGGGGGAUAACGUAGGGAAACUUACGCUACUACCGCAUACGACCUACGGGUGAAAGCAGGGGAUCUUCGGACCUUGCGCGAUUGAAUGAGCCGAUGUCGGAUUAGCUAGUUGGCGGGGUAAGGGCCCACCAAGGCGACGAUCCGUAGCUGGUCUGAGAGGAUGAUCAGCCACACUGGAACUGAGACACGGUCCAGACUCCUACGGGAGGCAGCAGUGGGGAAUAUUGGACAAUGGGCGCAAGCCUGAUCCAGCCAUACCGCGUGGGUGAAGAAGGCCUUCGGGUUGUAAAGCCCUUUUGUUGGGAAAGAAAAGCAGCAGGUUAAUACCCCGCUGUUCUGACGGUACCCAAAGAAUAAGCACCGGCUAACUUCGUG
Molecule: ribosomal RNA, 492 nt
Filed under: uncultured bacterium
Lineage: Bacteria
Description: partial 16S ribosomal RNA
Rfam family: Bacterial small subunit ribosomal RNA
Source: RNAcentral